RNAcentral lists this ribosomal RNA (523 nucleotides) under uncultured bacterium. RNAcentral describes it as "bacterial SSU rRNA". It matches the Rfam family "Bacterial small subunit ribosomal RNA", at positions 17 to 518 of the family's 1533-position model. The record is from RNAcentral.
UUCUGGCUCAGAACGAACGCUGGUAGCGUGGAUUAGGCAUGCAAGUCGAACGGGAUCCGGGAGGUAGCAAUACUUCCUGGUGAGAGUGGCGGAUUGGGGAGGAACACGUGAGCAACCUGCCUUGGAGUCGGGGAAAACCGUUGGAAACGACGGCUAAUACCGGAUGUGGCGCCCGGUGACAUCACCGGAGCGCUAAAGGGGGCCGCAAGGCUCUCGCUCCUAGAGGGGCUCGCGCACCAUCAGCUUGUUGGCGGGGUAACGGCCCACCAAGGCCUACGGUUAGCUGGUCUGAGAGGAUGACCAGCCCCACUGGGACUGAGAUACUGCCCAGACUCCUACGGGAGGCUGCAGUCGAGGAUCAUUUGCAAUGGGCGAAAGCCUGACAAUGCGACGCUGCGUGGAGGAAUGAAGGCCUUCGGGUUGUAAACUCCUGUCAUGGGGGAACAGGCGAGGAUACCUAAUACGUAUCUUAGUUGAGUGUACCCCAAGAGGAAUUGGCGGCUAACUCUGUGCCAGCCGCCGC